This 879-nucleotide ribosomal RNA is filed under the name uncultured bacterium. Its description in RNAcentral is "bacterial SSU rRNA". It matches the Rfam family "Bacterial small subunit ribosomal RNA", at positions 8 to 916 of the family's 1533-position model. The record is from RNAcentral.
AGAGUUUGAUCAUGGCUCAGGAUGAACGCUGGCGGCGUGCCUAACACAUGCAAGUCGAGCGAUUUACUUCGGUAAGGAGCGGCGGACGGGUGAGUAACGCGUGGGUAACCUGCCUCAUACACAUGGAUAACAUACCGAAAGGUAUGCUAAUACAAGAUGAUAUAAGAGAUUCGCAUGGAUUUCUUAUCAAAGCUCCGGCGGUAUGAGAUGGACCCGCGUCUGAUUAGCUAGUUGGUAAGGUAACGGCUUACCAAGGCGACGAUCAGUAGCCGACCCGAGAGGGUGAUCGGCCACAUUGGAACUGAGACACGGUCCAAACUCCUACGGGAGGCAGCAGUGGGGAAUAUUGCACAAUGGGCGAAAGCCUGAUGCAGCAACGCCGCGUGAGCGAUGAAGGCCUUCGGGUCGUAAAGCUCUGUCCUCAAGGAGGAUAAUGACGGUACUUGAGGAGGAAGCCCCGGCUAACUACGUGCCAGCAGCCGCGGUAAUACGUAGGGGGCUAGCGUUAUCCGGAUUUACUGGGCGUAAAGGGUGCGUAGGUGGUUUCUUAAGUCAGGAGUGAAAGGCUACGGCUCAACCGUAGUAAGCUCUUGAAACUGGGAGACUUGAGUGCAGGAGAGGAAAGUGGAAUUCCUAGUGUAGCGGUGAAAUGCGUAGAUAUUAGGAGGAACACCAGUAGCGAAGGCGGCUUUCUGGACUGUAACUGACACUGAGGCACGAAAGCGUGGGGAGCAAACAGGAUUAGAUACCCUGGUAGUCCACGCCGUAAACGAUGAGUACUAGGUGUCGGGGGUUACCCCCCUCGGUGCCGCAGCUAACGCAUUAAGUACUCCGCCUGGGGAGUACACUCGCAAGAGUGAAACUCAAAGGAAUUGACGG